This 468-nucleotide ribosomal RNA is filed under the name Papilio machaon (common yellow swallowtail). RNAcentral's name for it is "partial large subunit ribosomal RNA". Lineage: Eukaryota; Metazoa; Arthropoda; Insecta; Lepidoptera; Papilionidae. The record is from RNAcentral.
UUUUUGGAAAUAAUUUAAAGUCUAAUCUGCCCACUGAUAAAUAUAUUAAAGGGCUGCAGUAUUUUGACUGUACAAAGGUAGCAUAAUCAUUAGUCUCUUAAUUGGUGACUUGUAUGAAAGAUUGGAUGAAAUAUAAACUGUCUCUAAUUAAUUUAUAAAAUUUAAUUUUUUAGUAAAAAAGCUAAAAUAAUUUUAAAAGACGAGAAGACCCUAUAGAGUUUUAUAAUUUAUUUGAUUAUUAUUAAUAUGUAAAUUUUAAAAUUAAAAUUAAAUAAAUUAUUUUGUUGGGGUGACAGAAAGAUUAAAUUAACUUUUUUAAAUAAUUAACAUUAAUUUAUGAAUAAAUGAUCCAUUAAUAUUGAUUAAAAGAAAAAAUUACCUUAGGGAUAACAGCGUAAUUUUUUUUUUUAGUUCAAAUAGGAAAAAAAGUUUGCGACCUCGAUGUUGGAUUAAGAUAAAAUUUAAAUG